Molecule: long non-coding RNA, 38089 nt
Filed under: Zea mays
Lineage: Eukaryota; Viridiplantae; Streptophyta; Magnoliopsida; Poales; Poaceae
Description: long non-coding RNA (ZMAY_LNC001784)
Source: RNAcentral
UAGUUGUGGUUUCUUGUUUGAAUUAGGUUCAGUUGAGCAAGAAGAAUGUGAGUGUUGUACUUAGUAUGUCUAGUUUAUUAUUCCUUGAUAUUUGUGUUAGAUCCGGGUUAAGCUCGAGGAACGUGAUUGUUAUCCUUAGUAAGUUAUAGAAUCCUAGUGUUUACUUGUGAUUAUUUCAAUGUCAUGGCAUUAGGUGUUUAACUUGUUACUGUGUGUAAUUGUUUAGUCUUUUCUUAUUUAGUCUUUUCUUAUUCAUCCUUAUAUCCAUUCAGUUGCACCAUGCAUCUCAUUAGGUACGCUAGCUGAGAAUCGUACGAAGCAAAGGACAUGGACCAAAGCAGACCACAAGACGAUGUCGGCCGGUGAAUUGGAAAAAAUGGACAGACUGAACGAGUGCCAAGACAAAGGAUGAUCGUCAAGUGAUCGUCAUCUAACAAACACUAACCUAGUGUUAUUCUAGACAAGCCCCGGUGCAUUCACCUCUUUCCUUAUUGUUUACAAUAUUUUAUCACCUUGAAUGAUGCAUUAGGUGAUAGGAGUUGUGUGAUCAAACAGUUGAUGCAUUUCCUUCCUUAAUUAAACAACCCUAAUAACUGUUUUAUGAAAAUUUAGUGAUGCUUAGCCCUGCUUAUUAAUUUAGGAUUGUUUUUAAAAGAUGAUGUGUAACACGGGAUAUGAGAGUUUGUGAAAUAAAAGGGCUUGUGAUGAUGAAGCCAUUGCGGCCGCGAUGAUUUCAUCAUUCAAUUAGGGUACCUCUCUCAGGUAUCAAGUUUUGGGAAAUAAUAUGAAAUGUAGACCAGACGUUGAGCAGGAAAGUUCACCCGUCUGUGUCGAUUAAAUACCGUUCAAUGUAAGCCUGUUGUGGUGGAGACUUUGCAACUAGCCACAUGCUCCGGUAAGCUUGAACUCUGCUAUUUCAAACGUGAAAAGACAACCGCGCACUAGGCGUGAGAGAUGGUGGGAGUAGCGUGUACCCCUUGGCAAGAGGCUGGAUGGCGGAGUAUUGUGCUCCCGGGUAGCGCGGGCCGGUUCACGUUUGUCACACUCGGAAUUAAGGGACAAAGCCGGGUGCAACUCAUAUAUGCACCAAGGAAGACAACACAUAUAAUAAUAGAGUAUAUAGAGAUAAAUGUCACAAUAUAAUCAGAGUACUUAUUACAUAGCGGAAGUCUUACAAAAUAAAAGAUAAGUAUAAAACGAACUAAAGUCCAUCCUUGGCGCCAUAGAGUCAACUGGGAGACGGCACCUAGAUAAAGUCAAACUCCUCGUUGUCUGGCUCCUCUUGAACCUCCUGUUCUUCUCCUGUGGGGGGUGUGAGACAGCAAGGGUGAGCUCACACAUGUUCAUCGCUCAACAAGUUGUGGGGAAUAAUGUGUAUGAACUCACCAAAGGUGGGAGUUCAUGUGAGGUGUAAGGCUGAUCAAUAAUAGGGGUUAAAGCUGAGCAUUGAUUUUAAUAAGUUGGUGAAAUUUUCUUAGCAGUUACUAAAUGUAGGUAAAUACCAAACCAUAAUAAGAAUAGAACAAAAUUAAUUAAUAAUCACAUGCAAUGCAAAUGACAGAUUGAAUUUAGUUCCAUAGUUUAAUCAUGCGAGAGUCCUGAGCUGCUCUUGACCAUGAGCUCGGCUAGUAUACCAGUUUUACACUCUACAGAGGUUGUACCCUGUACCCACAAGUUAUGUUACCCAUCUGCCAAGGGGUCAUGAAUCCCAUACACCUCUACCAAGGAAGUGAGGCAGGGUAACACUACGAGGCCUUUACAAAGUUCCACUAGCUUCCGAAAACCCGCUACUGUUUCUGGGAAGAGCAAUUGCAAGAAUCCCUCCUCUGACCACCAUCGCAGCAAAAUCAACCCGAGAACCUCCCUGCAUGCCUACUCCCCUACUGCCCUUGCCCAUUUCGGGUAAUGUGGCGGAACUGCCCGAAUUAUUCCAACUUAAGUGUCCAAAUCCCGCCUUAGAGGCUAGACCACACUUAAAUGGGAAUAACCCGUCAAUCCCUCGGAUCUAGUCCGACACGGCCACUGACAGGAUCAAGUACCACAAUCUCACUCGAAGGUGAGUCACAGAGCAAAUACAAUAAAGCAUAAAACCAUACAUGCCACAAUGUUAAAUUAUUACAUCACCAUCAUCAUCAUCGGAGUUUUUGCAAAAGUAUCCAUCAUUGUUCGAAGUGCAGCGGAAUAAAACUAACGGUCAUUAAACAGAGAGAUGGGGAAGCCUGUCCCAUCACUCCUCAUGCUCCUCCUCAGCCGAGGCAGGGUCCCACUCAACAGUCCAACCCGGUGGCAAGGUGGACGGCCAAGUUACCCCAGCAACCAUCUCCUCCAGAGAACCUGUAAAAAUUAUGCCACAAGCAAGGCUGAGUAUACUAAUACUCAGCUAGACUUACCCGGUGUGAGGAGUCUACUCCUCUACCUCUAGACAUGCAGCUGUUUGGCUGUGGGGUUUGGUUGCCAAAAGCACUAGCUGAGUUUCUAAAUCAAGAUUUUAAUUUAGUCAAAGUUAAGUGUGACUCUCUUAAGGCUAAAAGUGGACUAUCUACUCAUACAUGGUAGCAAGCAUUAUUAAAAAUCAACAUCUUAUAUCAACUCAUCAUACUUCCACUUAUUACUCAAUGUAGCAGCAUGGAUCAAGCAGUCUCAUUAGCUGCGAGAAGCAGACGAUUCGAAUCGAGUUUUUAAACCUUGCAAGGUAAACCUAAACACACGACAUGCAGGGGCACUCCGUCCCCACACAUAUCAACCGUCCCCAUCGAUUCCCCGCCAGCAGAGAGGGGCUCACCGCCUUGGCGUACAAUGCCUCACUGACCCCGACUGGCCGUCGUGCAAUGACCGCACUUAUACCCACCAUAACCGGAAUGGGAGACCUCGUCUCAGGUCGCGUGAGGAGGGCAAUCUGCUGCCAGGUUCAAUCAGGUACUAGGCUUACCGAUUUACCAUAUUUCUCGGCAUGUGCUUAGUACGUUCAAACGCUUGACUCACGGUACCACACCUUAAUCCUUAUUCAAAUUUUUAUCCCGUAGACAACCAAUCCCCAUGGAUUGUUGUCCACAACCCAACAUCAUUAUGAUACGAAAGUGGAUACAAUCAAUUUCCUGACCUCGCGCGAGUGCUAGAAAAAUCACUCGACUUCUACCGAGAUUCCUGAUUAAUAAAGCAGCUACUCGACUUAGCAUACUAGUAUUCAUCUCAAUGGGAUUCCUGAGAUCAUGCAACUAGGGUUUCAGUCAACUCCUACACCUAAGUGCACAAUCAAUCCUACAAUCAUUAAGUAUAGUAAAAUAGCAUAAAUAACAGGUUAUGCAUAAAACCGGGGCUUGCCUUCCAAAGCAGUGGCAGGCAGGUCCUCUGGUGCAGGCUCGGGUGCUGGAUCUGGGGCUACCUCCUGAGCAGCUCCUUGCUCCGGCACGAGGAUGUACUCUCCGUCAGCAAGAUUACAGUCUAUCGAAAUGCAAUGAACAUGCAUGUCAUGAUUAUGCAGGAUUUAAGAACAAUAAGCUAAAGAAACUAAGUUAAGAAGUAACCUAGGGUUUUCUUAGUCAUGCUGGGCUGCUAGUGGUAUAUAUAUAGAUACAUAGACUUAUGACCUUUUAAGCUUAGGUUUUCUUUUAGGAUAACAUAGUGGGUUGGUAUUGUCUUUAUAAAUUUCAGUGGACAAAUUAACAAAGGUCUUAGGAUGACAUUAAUUUCCAUUAUUCAUUUUCCUUUCCUUAAUUUCCAUUUAGGGUUUCUAGGGUAGGGUUGAACUACAACAGGGUUUUAAUAAUUUCCAAAAAUUCUGUAAAAAUUCCAGUGGGUCAUCACUGGCUAUUCUAGCUUGUUUUAAGAAUUUGAGGCUUAAAGUAUAAAAGUUAGGCUUUAAACAAAAAUAACAAAAGUUAGGCAAAAUGGGCCACUUCACACUACACCUCUUAGUUAGGGGUAGGUUCUGCCCUAAAGGUUAUUUUUGUUGGCAUCCUAUGGUAAUAAUAGGUUUCUAUGCUAAAAAUCACAGAAAACUAAGGGGUGGUUAUUUAGUUAUGAUUUUCUUAAGUUUAAUGCCAAAAAGGCACUUUCUACUACAUUAUUAUUUGAAAAAUGUCAAACAGCAGAUUUCAUAUUUUUCCUAAGUUCUCUCUAAUAAAACAAUAGUCAUCCCAAGGGUGGGGGUGUUUUUACCUUGGGGUCAUUUUUGUAGGGUUUUUCUAAGUUAUCCUUGUUUUAUUAAAACAAAAGAUAUCCUACUUAAUUUGUACUAAACCAGGGUAUGAUAUAUUUUUCCAGUGAACUAUAUUGAAUAAGUAACCUAACAAAAAUAGAAGUACUCUCUGGUUCAUUAAUUAAGUUGCAUUUUCUAUUUUCCUUAUCCUUAAGCAUAUUAUAGAAUAAAGGGUAAAACUAACUUAAAUGGAGUGGACAGAGGGGUUUAACAUUUUUACUUGGUCUAGUAGGUAGAUAUAAGCUUCUCAAAAUUUUUCUAACCCUGGUCAAACAAUAUUCCUAUUUUUCCUCCUAAUAUUGGGUUUUGAGUGGUUUUCUUAUUUAAUUCUAAACUUCAGAAAGAAAUACAGAAGCUAUGGGUUCUAUUAUUUUUCUCUGAUAGCUCAUAAAUUCCUGAAUCUAGCAAAAUUGGUUUGAACAUUUUUGGAUGAUUAUUCUGCAAGUUAUGCAUUUACUUAGCUAUCUGUUAUAACAAAAGAAAAGAAAUUCGAAAAUGGAAAAAGAAAACAUGUUUACGCCGAGGCCCCUGGGGUUUUUCCUUUUCUUUUCUCACAGAACAGCCCUUGGUCCACUAUUGGCUUGAGUCACUAACAUUGCGCAAAGCCCCCUGGACUUAACUAAAAUCUAACCCGCGCUCCCUGACCGGCUCAAACAGUGCCCGCGGUACAGUUUACGGCGGUGGGGCUUACCGGCGGCAGUAGAGCUCCGGCGGGGUGGUCAGUGACGUCCGGGAGGUCGCGACGGUCACGCCGAUGUGCGGGUCGGUGUCGGAGGUGGUCGGAGCUACCCUGGCCACGAGCACAGGCGGCGGGGGUCGUCGGCGGCUCCUGCUCCGGCCAAACCACGGCGGCAUAGAUCAAUUAGGGUGCACGAGGAGCUUCACGGGGUGACACAGAGGCCAUACGCGCAAGGAAUUGGAAAACGGUGCAGGGGCUUACCCGGUCCACGCGCGCCGGCGGGUUCUUGAACUCCGGUGAGCACGAUUGGGCUAUUCCGGUGACGCGGGUCCCUGGGUCAAGCUUGAGCAAGACUCACGGCUUCACCAGGAAGCUCUCUGAGGGCUUGGAUCGAACGGAGGAGGACGGGAGAGGGGCUGGCCACGGUGGUUGCUCUCGGGCGGCACUGGCGGGUCGCGGGGAGGUCGCCAGAGUUAAUGGCUGGCUCGGGCGAGUCCGGCGAGGUACGGAGGAGGUAACGGGGAAGGCAGCCAAGCACUGGGGUGGGCUUUAUAGCCGUGGCGCGGGCGUGGUCACGGGCGGCCGCGGGUGCGCGGGGGUUCACACACGGGCGUGCUCUAAGCGCGCCCCCGGAUGCCAGCUUGCGUCGAACACGUGGAAGAUCGCUUCUGCCAUGGUUCAACGGCCGAUUAGAGUGCCAUAGCGUGCGCAUCUUGGCAAAGUCACUGUGUACGGUCGCUUCUCUGCUCCAAAUCCUAUCUUUUCGCUGUGAGUUCCAAGUCGAGAUAUGGUCGGGGUAGGGAGAUAGAGAGGGGAGAAGUUUGCUGUGUCAGCCAAGCCCGAAUCGAGACAAAAGGGGUGACAAGUCGUGUCUAGCACCCUAGGGUAGGUGUCAUCUCUUUCCAGGGUGUUCUAGGGUUAAUUUGGCGCCAUUUUGUCAAUUGGGUCGAAGGGUUUUGAAAAGGGGAUUAAGGUGAACAUGUGGAGUCUUUGUGCAAGGGUUAGUUUUUGUACUUAGGCAAAAACUGAAUUUUUUCCCUUGUGCUAAAUCAUAGGUGAACUGUUUAGGGCUUUUCUGCAAACUUUUUGGGGGUACUUCCUUACUAUGAAUUGUAGGUUAUCAAGUGUUUUACAACUUUUAUAUUUGGCCCAAACCAUGAUCAUAAGGUUUACAUGAUCUUUUGAUCAUGGCUUCAAUUAGGGUUCCCAUUGCCUAUGGGGGUUUUGCUUUAGGGUUUUGGGAGAUCCCCACUUAGAUGUGCAUGGUAAGCUAGGGCAUGACAUCCAAGGUGGAUUACACUUGCUUAGGACCUAGAAUUCUAAGUUUGGUAUACUUUGCCCAAAUCAAUCUUCAUGUGAUAAUGGGUAAAAGGGGGGUAACCCUGGGAUGGACACCCUGAGUAACACCUGGGGUGUUACAGCCCUCCCCCCUUAAAGGAAUCUCGUCCCGAGAUUUAGGUAGAGUCCCUUGGAGGGGUGCUUGAAGGUGUGAUGGGGGUGUUUUUCCUUUACACUUAAGUUUCUCUUGUUAACUGCUCUUCGAAUGUCAUCCUCUUUGCAACUUCAGAAGGAAGCCCUUCUUAAGUUAAAUCCACAACUUAGACUAUCCUUGUUAUCUAAGUUUUUCUUAUAAUUGGAUUCAAAGGGCAGGUGGGGGUGGGGUUCGGGGGUUACGUACCGACUCCUUUGGGUAGAAAGUCGGGGAAGCGAGAGCGUAGAAAAUCCUCAGUCUCCCAUGUAGCUUCUUCUGCUGAAUGGUGACUCCAUUGAAUCUUAUACAUUCUGACCGACCUUGCCCGAGUUGAUCUUUCCUUUUGAUCUAGCACCUUGACGGGGUACUCUUGGUAGGAUAAAUCUGGUUCUAUCUCAAUGUCUCGUUCCGGGAGUACUUCAGUGGGUAGACGAACGCAUUUCCACAGCUGAGAUACAUGGAACACAUUAUGAACUGCUGACAUGUGAGGUGGUAAUUCCACUUGAUAAGCUACGGGUCCACAAGCCUCCUUGAUCUCGUAGGGUCCAAUAUAGCGAGGAGCUAACUUGCCCUUGAUCCCGAAUCUCUGAACACCCUUGGUGGGUGAUACCUUAAGAUAGACAUGAUCUCCCACCUCAAACUGUAGAGGCUUCCGCCUCUUAUCAUGAUAGCUCCUUUGCCUGGCCUGAGCAGCUUCUAAGUUCUUGGUAAUGACCCUGACCUUUGCCUCUGCCUCGAGUACCAAGUCUGGCCCAAAAAUUUCCCUUUCUCCUGCUUGAGACCAAUUUAGUGGGGUCCUACACCUUCUCCCAUAUAAUGCCUCAAAAGGUGCCAUCUUCAGACUGGAUUGAUAGCUGUUACUGUAAGAAAACUCUGCCAAAGACAGACACUUGUCCCAAUCCUUCCCAUAAUGUAGUGCACAUGCUCACAACAUGUCUUCCAAAAUCUGAUUCACCCUUUCUGUUUGGCCGUCUGUUUGAGGGUGAUAUGCUGAGCUUCGGAUGACAUGGGUCCCAAGUGACUCUUGCAAUUUCUCCCAAAAUCGUGCCACAAAUGGUGCUCCUCUGUCAGAUAUAAUGGUCUUGGGAAUACCAUGCAACCUUACUAUUUGAUCAACAUAAAUUUCAGCGUACUUCUCUGCCCUGUGGGUGGUAUGCACUGGCAAGAAAUGAGCAGUCUUGGUCAACCUGUCCACGAUAACCCAAAUUGAAUCAUGGUGCCUGGAGGUAUUGGGUAAUCCUACUAUGAAGUCCAUGCAAAUGUCCUCCCAUUUCCAAGAUGGUAUGGGAAGGGGUUGCAAAGGGCCUGCUGCCUUCAAGUGACUGGCCUUUAUCCUCUGGCAAGUAUCACACUCGGAUAUGUACUUGGCAAUUUCCCUUUUCAUUCUAGUCCACCAAUAUAGAGAUCUGAGAUCAUGAUACAUCUUGUUGCUACCAGGGUGCAUGGAGAAUUUUGAAAGGUGAGCUUCAUCUAGUAUCUUCUUUCUAAACUCAGGGUCCUUGGGAACAACCAAUCGAUCUCCAAACCAUAGAAUUCCCUUGCUAUCCUGUCGGAAACACUUGUAUUUUUCUGCUUUUUGCUUGAUCAUUUCUUUGAUAACCUGAACACCCUUAUCCUCAACCUGUGCCCUGAUUAUCUGUUCUUGCAAUGUGGGUUCCACCGAGAUAUAGCUUAGGUUACCUGAAGAAACAACUUCCAGGUUCAGCUUGCACAACUCAUCACACAGGGUGGUCACUCCCACAUCCAUGCUCAUACAAUUACACUGGGCCUUUCUGCUUAAGGCAUCUGCCACAACAUUGGCCUUCCCUGGGUGGUAAUGCACUUCCAGAUCAUAGUCCUUGAUUAACUCCAACCAUCUCCUUUGCCUCAUGUUCAGAUCUGCCUGAGUGAAAAUGUAUUUGAGACUCUUGUGAUCAGUGUAGAUGUUAAAGUGAGCUCCCAUCAAGUAGUGUCUCCAUAUCUUCAGAGCAUGAACUACAGCUGCCAAUUCCAGAUCAUGUGUAGGGUAGUUCUGCUCAUGGGGCCUGAGUGCCCGGGAAGCAUAAGCAAUCACUCUGUUCUCUUGCAUCAAGACACAUCCCAAACCAGUACCAGAAGCAUCACAAUAAACUUCAAACGGCUUGGUGUUGUCAGGUUGGGCCAGCACUGGGGCUAUUGUCAAAUGCUGUCUCAAGGUAUGAAAGGCAUCUUCACACUUUUGGCUCCACUCAAAUUUGACUCCCUUCUUCAACAGUUCAGUCAUUGGCUUGGCAAUUCUGGAGAAGUCCGGAAUAAAUCGUCGAUAAUACCCUGCCAAUCCCAGAAAACUCCGAAUCUGCUUCACUGUAGUCGGGGGUUUCCAUUCCAUUACCUCUUGUACUUUCUCAGGAUCCACUGAUAUCCCAUCCUGAGAAAUUGUGUGACCCAAGAAUUUAAUCUCCUUCAGCCAAAACUCACACUUAGACAACUUAGCAUAAAGAUGAUGAUCGCGCAGCCGCUGAAGCACGAUGUGCAGGUGCUCAAUAUGUUCGUCUUCAUUCUUGGAAUAGAUCAGAAUAUCGUCAAUGAAAACGACCACGAACUUAUCUAAUUCUGGCAUGAACACUGAAUUCAUCAGGUACAUGAAAUAAGCCGGGGCAUUGGUCAGCCCAAAAGACAUCACCAGAAACUCAUACAGCCCAUAUCUGGUAGAGAAAGCCGUCUUGGGAAUAUCGCUGGCACGGAUCUUUAUUUGAUGGUAUCAUGAGCGAAGGUCUAUUUUGGAGAAUACCUUGGCUCCUACCAACUGAUCAAACAGAACAUCAAUGCGGGGCAGUGGGUAUUUGUUCUUGAUAGUCACCGCAUUGAGAGGGCGGUAAUCAACACACAUCCUCAAACUCUCAUCCUUUUUCUUCACAAAUAAUGCUGGACAUCCCCAUGGUGAAGUGCUGGGACGAAUAAACCCCUUGUCCAACAACUCUUGCAAUUGCUUCUUCAAUUCUGCCAAUUCCGCGGGAGGCAUCCUAUAGGGUCUCUUGGAGAUCGGAGCAGUCCCGGGUUGCAACUCAAUUGCGAACUCAAUGUCUCGGUCAGGUGGCAUCCCUGGUAAUUCUUCCGGAAACACAUCCGGGUAGUCACAGACUACUGGGAUCUCUUUCACUGGGGACUCUAACAUAACAAAGGCACAAGAUCGGGUACAACCCUGGUUGGGUAAAUACAAAACAGUCUCGCCAUAAGCAGGGGAAUGGAUUUCAAUGGCUCUGGCUGCAAUGUCCAAUACUGCCUGAUGCCUGGUCAACCAGUCAGCUCCCAAAAUAAUAUCCACGCUAUCCAAUCCUAAGAUGAGAAGGGUGGUUCUAAUCACCAGACUACCAAAUUUUAUAGGCACUUGCCUGUUGAUUUGAUAAGUGGCAACUCUGCCUCCUGGUGUUGAAAUUGUAAUGCCCCCAUCGGUAUGGUGAAAGGGCAACUGGCAUUUGGCACUAAACUUGGCACUGAUAAAACUAUGCGAUGCACCCGAAUCAAAUAAAACAAUAGCAGGAUAAUUCAAUACUGUAAAGAUACCAUUCAUGACGGGUGCUCCCUCUGGAAUGUCAGCCAUGGUGGUGAAGUUCAGCCUGCCUUGCCUUACUUGCACCUUCUGCCUCUUCCCCUGGUUCUGAGUAGCAUUCUGCCCCUGCCUCUACUGGUUCCUGGGGCAAUUCUUGGCAUAAUGCCUAGUGUUGCCACAAGUGAAGCACCUGUUGUCGUUCGCCUGGCGGUACUGCUGCUGCUGAUUAUUCCUCUGAGCUGGAAACUGGUUGCGGUUGGGUGCCUGCUGCUGCUGCUGCUGCUGAGGUCGGAUUACCCAUCGCCCUUGCUGCUGCUGGGGUCCCCUGCCCUGGGUGUCGGACACAAUUCUGAAGCGCUGUGGCUGAGCUGAAGGUCCUGCCACAGGGGUCUUCCUCUUCUUCUCUGCCUGCCUAGCUGUAAUGCAGUCCUCUUGGGAGAUAGCCAUGUAGACCAACUCAUUGUAGCUGUUGGCCCUGACGGUGUUGAGACGAUCCCGGAGCUUAGUGCUGAGCCCCCUUCUGAAUCUGUCCCUCUUCUUCUCAUCUGUAUCUGCAUGAUAUCCCGCGUACUGGCACAAGUCAUUAAAGGCCUGGGCAUACUGCAACACUGUCCUGUUGCCCUGAGUGAGUGCCAAGAACUCAUUGAGCUUCCUGUCCAUGAUCCCGGCUGGUAUAUGGUGUCCUCUAAAAGCUGCCUUGAACUCCCUCCACUCCACCUCUCGGUCCUCUGGCUGCAUAGCAAGAAAAUGAUCCCACCAAGUCCUUGCAGGUCCGCGAAGCUGCUGGGUGGCGAACCUGACUUUGGUGACUUCUGAGCAAACUCCAUGGAGCAGUGGGAAUUUGGAUUCCACCACUCGCAGCCACACAUCUGCGUCAAGUGGGUCCUCUGCCCUUGUGAACAGUGGAGGCUGGGUGCUGAGGAAUUCCUGAUAGGUGGCCGCCGCGGGGUGACGCUGGUGGUCUCCACCACCAUAAUGCUGGGGUGGUGGCUGACGUUGAGCCAGCUGCCUCAGGAUCUCAUUCUGCUGAGCCAUGAGCUCCUGCAGAGUGGGAGGUGGGGGCGGCGGUGGAACGUGCUCGUUCUGGCCACGACGCUGCCUCCCGGCCAUCUGAAAAACCACAUACAUACUUAACACCACAGUUCCGAAUUUCAAGAUUUUUAUCACGGGGACAAAGUUAAAACAGCAUGAUAAUUUCCGACUUCAACAAAAGGGAUUUUAAGAGGCAUAAAUUCUUCCUUCCAAAUUUAAACUGAUAAAAGCAUCCAUCAACCAAGCUCCCAAGAAAGUUUAACACGAUUACAUCAAAUUGUUCCAAAAUGACUCAACUCUACCUAGCCUAGUACCCCAAGGGUGCAAAAGCUAAGCUAGCUGCGAGGAGUCCGACUAUCCAACUUCUAAGCCUAUCCUGAACACCUAGUGAGCGAACGAAGCGACACUCGACUCGGGGGAAGGUGGUCUUCCCGAGCCAGCAGUGUCCACACUGGAGGCAGGAUCAUCUCCUCCCUCAAUGUCAACGUCCUCGUUGGCCUCCUAGUCCUGGAUCUCCUGGUGAUGCAUGUCCAGGUGCUCGUUAGCCUCAGCAAGCUGUUGCUGAGUGUUAAUGAGCUGAUCCUCUAGGACCUCGAUGGUGUUCUCCCUGGUGCCCACCAGCUCCUCCAACUCCUGAAUAUCAGUGGAUAGCUGCUCCACCUGCAAGUCCUUCUCCACCAUCUCUUGAGACAAGUCAACCACGAGCUCCUCUCUGUUAUCCAGCGUGAUCUUUGUUGCCUCUAGCAGUGCCAUCAGAUGGGACAUUGCUUCACCGCGCAUCACUUGCAGACGGUACAGAGCAUUCAUGCACCGUACUGUCAAGUGCGCAGUCUGACCUGGGUAGAUGGCCCAGAUAUCCUUGGCAUGCUCCACCCGAUCCUUCCAUAUUGGGUCGUCCUCCUUCUCAGCGGGGAACAAGCCAAUGGGGUGGGUAGCCAGCUCCAAGGGAUGGAAUCCGCAGAAGGUAGUCAAUCCAUGCAGAGCGAUCGCCUCGAUCGUGUCCUCUGCCCGGUACCCGAAAGACUCUGAGUCCAAGGAGCGCCAGCCUGGCUGCAGGGGAUGAGGCUCCAAAGUCAUCCUCACCCUACAGCGGGGCACCCGGUGCUUCUCGAACUGCUGCACCGCGUACUGAGGGGGUGUCGUGUAUCCAGCCCCCUGAAGUACCUCCCACAAAAUGCGGGGAAAACCCUCUCGUGCAAGCCCGUCAGUGUGGGUCAGUGCAUCCCCGUUAUCGGAGGAUCCGUGGGAAGUCAUCUGUGUACGGUUAAGCGUAAGUAAAAGGAAAAAGAAUUAUAAAAAAAAUAAGGAAAAGUAAAACUCAGCCUGUCUCUAGUUAAGUAGAAAGGCACUAGGGACCUAAUUGGUUGUUAUCUUAUUUUUAAGUCCUUUACUCAGUUAUCCAUUUGCUUAAUUAUGAAUGCAUGCAUGCUCAUCCUGAACGGCCUCACAACAAGAUAAAAGGAAUAGGGAGGAACUCCCAUCCUGUAAAAGUGGCCUGUAGGGCCUAGUUACUUAGCCACCUAGCUACCCUUCUCUUAUCCUAAGGCUUCACGUCCUAGGUCUAUCCUGCUCGCCCUACUAUCUAUCCAACCUUGUUUCUAUCCAGUUUUUAUUUAGAAAAUUGAUGGUAUUUACAUUUUAUUGAUUCCUCUGUGGUGGUACAAGCUCCGAUACCAGCUGUGGCGGAAUUGCCCGAAUUAUUCCAACUUAAGUGUCCAAAUCCCGCCUUAGAGGCUAGACCACACUUAAAUGGGAAUAACCCGUCAAUCCCUCGGAUCUAGUCCGACACGGCCACUGACAGGAUCAAGUACCACAAUCUCACUCGAAGGUGAGUCACAGAGCAAAUACAAUAAAGCAUAAAACCAUACAUGCCACAAUGUUAAAUUAUUACAUCACCAUCAUCAUCAUCGGAGUUUUUGCAAAAGUAUCCAUCAUUGUUCGAAGUGCAGCGGAAUAAAACUAACGGUCAUUAAACAGAGAGAUGGGGAAGCCUGUCCCAUCACUCCUCAUGCUCCUCCUCAGCCGAGGCAGGGUCCCACUCAACAGCCCAACCUGGUGGCAAGGUGGACGGCCAAGUUACCCCAGCAACCAUCUCCUCCAGAGAACCUGUAAAAAUUAUGCCACAAGCAAGGCUGAGUAUACUAAUACUCAGCUAGACUUACCCGGUGUGAGGAGUCUACUCCUCUACCUCUAGACAUGCAGCUGUUUGGCUGUGGGGUUUGGUUGCCAAAAGCACUAGCUGAGUUUCUAAAUCAAGAUUUUAAUUUAGUCAAAGUUAAGUGUGACUCUCUUAAGGCUAAAAGUGGACUAUCUACUCAUACAUGGUAGCAAGCAUUAUUAAAAAUCAACAUCUUAUAUCAACUCAUCAUACUUCCACUUAUUACUCAAUGUAGCAGCAUGGAUCAAGCAGUCUCAUUAGCUGCGAGAAGCAGACGAUUCGAAUCGAGUUUUUAAACCUUGCAAGGUAAACCUAAACACACGACAUGCAGGGGCACUCCGUCCCCACACAUAUCAACCGUCCCCAUCGAUUCCCUGCCAGCAGAGAGGGGCUCACCGCCUUGGCGUACAAUGCCUCACUGACCCCGACUGGCCGUCGUGCAAUGACCGCACUUGUACCCACCAUAACCGGAAUGGGAGACCUCGUCUCAGGUCGCGUGAGGAGGGCAAUCUGCUGCCAGGUUCAAUCAGGUACUAGGCUUACCGAUUUACCAUAUUUCUCGGCAUGUGCUUAGUACGUUCAAACGCUUGACUUACAGUACCACACCUUAAUCCUUAUUCAAAUUUUUAUCCCGUAGACAACAGAUCCCCAUGGAUUGUUGUCCACAACCCAACAUCAUUAUGAUACGAAAGUGGAUACAAUCAAUUUCCUGACCUCGCGCGAGUGCUAGAAAAAUCACUCGACUUCUACCGAGAUUCCUGAUUAAUAAAGCAGCUACUCGACUUAGCAUACUAGUAUUCAUCUCAAUAGGAUUCCUGAGAUCAUGCAACUAGGGUUUCAGUCAACUCCUACACCUAAGUGAACAAUCAAUCCUACAAUCAUUAAGUAUAGUAAAAUAGCAUAAAUAACAGGUUAUGCAUAAAACCGGGGCUUGCCUUCCAAAGCAGUGGCAGGCAGGUCCUCUGGUGCAGGCUCGGGUGCUGGAUCUGGGCUACCUCUUGAGCAGCUCCUUGCUCCGGCACGAGGAUGUACUCUCCAUCAGCAAGAUUACAGUCUAUCAAAAUGCAAUGAACAUGCAUGUCAUGAUUAUGCAGGAUUUAAGAACAAUAAGCUAAAGAAACUAAGUUAAGAAGUAACCUAGGGUUUUCUUAGUCAUGCUGGGCUGCUAGUGGUAUAUAUAUAGAUACAUAGACUUAUGACCUUUUAAGCUUAGGUUUUCUUUUAGGAUAACAUAGUGGGUUGGUAUUGUCUUUAUAGAUUUCAGUGGACAAAUUAACAAAGGUCUUAGGAUGACAUUAAUUUCCAUUAUUCAUUUUCCUUUCCUUAAUUUCCAUUUAGGGUUUCUAGGGUAGGGUUGAACUACAACAGGGUUUUAAUAAUUUCCAAAAAUUCUGUAAAAAUUCCAGUGGGUCAUCACUGGCUAUUCUAGCUUGUUUUAAGAAUUUGAGGCUUAAAGUAUAAAAGUUAGGCUUUAAACAAAAAUAACAAAAGUUAGGCAAAAUGGGCCACUUCACACUACACCUCUUAGUUAGGGGUAGGUUCUGCCCUAAAGGUUAUUUUUGUUGGCAUCCUAUGGUAAUAAUAGGUUUCUGUGCUAAAAAUCACAGAAAACUAAGGGGUGGUUAUUUAGUUAUGAUUUUCUUAAGUUUAAUGCCAAAAAGGCACUUUCUACUACAUUAUUAUUUGAAAAUGUCAAACAGCAGAUUUUAUAUUUUUCCUAAGUUCUCUCUAAUAAAACAAUAGUCAUCCCAAGGGUGGGGGUGUUUUUACCUUGGGGUCAUUUUUGUAGGGUUUUUCUAAGUUAUCCUUGUUUUAUUAAAACAAAAGAUAUCCUACUUAAUUUGUACUAAACCAUGGUAUGAUAUAUUUUUCCAGUGAACUAUAUUGAAUAAGUAACCUAACAAAAAUAGAAGUACUCUCUGGUUCAUUAAUUAAGUUGCAUUUUCUAUUUUCCUUAUCCUUAAGCAUAUUAUAGAAUAAAGGGUAAAACUAACUUAAAUGGAGUGGACAGAGGGGUUUAACAUUUUUACUUGGUCUAGUAGGUAGAUAUAAGCUUCUCAAAAUUUUUCUAACCCUGGUCAAACAAUAUUCCUAUUUUCCUCCUAAUAUUGGGUUUUGAGUGGUUUUCUUAUUUAAUUCUAAACUUCAGAAAGAAAUACAGAAGCUAUGGGUUCUAUUAUUUUUCUCUGAUAGCUCAUAAAUUCCUGAAUCUAGCAAAAUUGGUUUGAACAUUUUUGGAUGAUUAUUCUGCAAGUUAUGCAUUUACUUAGCUAUCUGUUAUAACAAAAGAAAAGAAAUUCGAAAAUGGAAAAAGAAAACAUGUUUACGCCGAGGCCCCUGGGGUUUUUCCUUUUCUUUUCUCACAGAACAGCCCUUGGUCCACUAUUGGCUUGAGUCACUGACAUUGCGCAAAGCCCCCUGGACUUAACUAAAAUCUAACCCGCGCUCCCUGACCGGCUCAAACAGUGCCCGCGGUACAGUUUGCGGCGGUGGGGCUUACCGGCGGCAGUAGAGCUCCGGCGGGGUGGUCAGUGACGUCCGGGAGGUCGCGACGGUCACGCCGAUGUGCGGGUCGGUGUCGGAGGUGGUCGGAGCUACCCUGGCCACGAGCACAGGCGGCGGGGGUCGUCGGCGGCUCCUGCUCCGGCCAAACCACGGCGGCAUAGAUCAAUUAGGGUGCACGAGGAGCUUCACGGGGUGACACAGAGGCCAUACGCGCAAGGAAUUGGAAAACGGUGCAGGGGCUUACCCGGUCCACGCGCGCCGGCGGGUUCUUGAACUCCGGUGAGCACGAUUGGGCUAUUCCGGUGACGCGGGUCCCUGGGUCAAGCUUGAGCAAGACUCACGGCUUCACCAGGAAGCUCUCUGAGGGCUUGGAUCGAAUGGAGGAGGACGGGAGAGGGGCUGGCCACGGUGGUUGCUCUCGGGCGGCACUGGCGGGUCGCGGGGAGGUCGCCGGAGUUAAUGGCUGGCUCGGGCGAGUCCGGCGAGGUACGGAGGAGGUAACGGGGAAGGCAGCCAAGCACUGGGGCGGGCUUUAUAGCCGUGGCACGGGCGUGGUAACGGGCGGCCGCGGGUGCGCGGGGGUUCCCGCACGGGCGUGCUCUGAGCGCGCCCCCGGAUGCCAGCUUGCGUCGAACACGUGGAAGAUCGCUUCUGCCAUGGUUCAACGGCCGAUUAGAGUGCCAUAGCGUGCGCAUCUUGGCAAAGUCACUGUGUACGGUCGCUUCUCUGCUCCAAAUCCUAUCUUUUCGCUGUGAGUUCCAAGUCGAGAUAUGGUCGGGGUAGGGAGAUAGAGAGGGGAGAAGUUUGCUGUGUCAGCCAAGCCCGAAUCGAGACAAAAGGGGUGACAAGUCGUGUCUAGCGCCCUAGGGUAGGUGUCAUCUCUUUCCAGGGUGUUCUAGGGUUAAUUUGGCGCCAUUUUGUCAAUUGGGUCGAAGGGUUUUGAAAAGGGGAUUAAGGUGAACAUGUGGAGUCUUUGUGCAAGGGUUAGUUUUUGUACUUAGGCAAAAACUGAAUUUUUUCCCUUGUGCUAAAUCAUAGGUGAACUGUUUAGGGCUUUUCUGCAAACUUUUUGGGGGUACUUCCUUACUAUGAAUUGUAGGUUAUCAAGUGUUUUACAACUUUUAUAUUUGGCCCAAACCAUGAUCAUAAGGUUUACAUGAUCUUUUGAUCAUGGCUUCAAUUAGGGUUCCCAUUGCCUAUGGGGGUUUUGCUUUAGGGUUUUGGGAGAUCCCCACUUAGAUGUGCAUGGUAAGCUAGGGCAUGACAUCCAAGGUGGAUUACACUUGCUUAGGACCUAGAAUUCCCAAGUUUGGUAUACUUUGCCCAAAUCAAUCUUCAUGUGAUAAUGGGUAAAAGGGGGGUAACCCUGGGAUGGACACCCUGAGUAACACCUGGGGUGUUACAGGUAAGGUAGUCUUCCACUAGCUUUCCUAAUUAGUCAGCCAAGGGCGUCGCAUUCCAUCCUUGUGGUGGCACGUGUUUCUCAAGUUAAGCUCCAUGUUCCAAUUAAAGAUAAUGAUCUUGACAUGAACAUUAAUAAAAUAAUAAAACAAUUGGAACAUGGAUAUAAUUAAAUAUUAACCCAAAACCAUAUAAAGCAAUAGCAAACUACCCAAAUGAUUCAGGGGUAAACAAGGUAAAAGAUAAUAAGACUAGGGCAACUUAUUGGGUCCCAUCAAAAUUAAACCUAUGCAUGAUUACAUGAUUAUAAAGAAAAUUAUUGGGUAAUAAAUGUGGUCUAGGGCACAACUUGCCUUCAAUGAGCUCCUGCUCAGCAACUUCUACCUGCUGAACACCGGGAUCCUUAGCCAUUGGCUCUUCUACUCGCCAUAAUACAAACAAGCAUAGUAUAAAAGAGAAAUUAACAUCACACCAAAGAUGUAAACAAAAUACAUAUUAAUAAUCUACACAUUAAAAUAAGACUAUAGGAAAAAGAAUCAUUAAAAUUGGAGUUAUGGAUUUUAAGUUAUGAAUUUUUGAAGGUUUUAUAUAUUUGAUACAAGAUUAAUUAGGAGAUCAAUUUUUAUGUGGCUUUCAUGUCAAAAUAGUGGCACUAAUUGAUAAACAAAAAUAUUACAAAAUUAUAGGAACUAGAAUGGAUCAAUUUGGACUUAAUAUGAAUUUUCUAUGAAUUAAACAAGUUCUAGUGAUUAUUUUUACAUUAAAAAUCAUUUUUGUUAUUAAUUAUCAAAUUCCUCUGGUCUCUGGACUGCGCCUCAAAAACUGAGAAGUGCAGGUGCCCUAGCGCAAUAAAUUGCAAUACUCAGAAUGACUCUGUCAUGGACCGCGGGUUGUUUACUAAUAAGUUCAGGGUCUAUUUAGUAAGGUGGCCUGCCGAAGGGGUAUCGUGGAUUUACGACUGUCCGAUUCUAAACCAACGGAUUAGAUUUGAUCGUCGCGAUAUAUAACGUGUAACCCACCUCGAUCGUUCGAUCCCGCAUCAACGACAGAGAGGCGGCCAAGCUCUGACUGGACCAGAGCCGCACAUCACCGAAUCAACGUCUCUGAUCAAAUCUCGUGAAGGGGGGGUAUGCGGCACAACAUCUCUACCGCCGGUCAUCGAUCCAACGACCUUGCGCUAUCGCUCUCCCCCGACGCCGCCCAACGGUGGCGCCACCAACUCAAGCGGUGGCGUGCUCGCUGGCGCGAGUGAAUCCAGUGCCCGAGUCACAAUCCCGGGCCCCCGCGACUUCCACGCGAUGCCCAAACCCACCCGAACGCACUGGCCUAACAAUCACCGGGAUUCGCGCAACACCGGCGCACACCCACGGCGAGCAGCGGCCGUCGCCGGCGAGUCGUUGCUACCCUCAAUCCAGCGCGCGUUCUCAAGCGUAAUUUAAUAUCUACACGUCGAUCAUAUAACGGGGAUCGGUAGGGGAGUCCUCACCGGGGUUUGACUACGCUGAUGGCAACACCACGGCGGAUUGCGGCUCCGAGUAGGUGUCCUACGACGGCGAGCAAUCGUCGAUCACCCAACUCCGAUUCUGCACGACACUGUGGCUCACCCGAACGGUGAAGACUCCGCAGCUUCCCUUCCGGUCACCCACUGGAAACGAGGAGCCACACACAGCUGACCGUUGGCGGCGGUGGCGCGGCUUGAUUUCGUUCCCUCCCUGACGGCGCCUGGCGCGAGGUUGCGGAAGAAGGAAGAAGAGGAAGAGGUAAGGAACGGCGGACGCUGGGUCUUAUACCCAGGAAGGAUAGGUUUUGCACAAGGUUCGCAGUGAUCGUGGCACCGCAAGCUCCGUCGAGGUCUUCGCGAGGAAGUUGAGGAUGGAACUGACGGGGAGGGUCCACCCAACAGCGAGCGUACGAUGAGGCAGUCAUAGGUAAGUGGGUCCGGCGCAUCAGUCAAAGGUUGCGCACAACGAGCGAUUGACCGGGAUGGUCCACCAGUCAACGAAACGGGGAGUAAGAAGUGCGCGCGGAGUGGCUGUCGCGGUGGUCCCACGUGGUCAGCGCGCGCGGGCGUGAGUUGGUGGGCCGGGAGCUACACUUUGGGCCCAAGGUCGAUCUGCAGGUCUGUUCUCCUUUAUUCUUUUUCUGGUUUUUCUUUCUCGUUUUAUUUUAAAUUUCCAAUUUAAACUUCAAAUAUACAUGUGAAUUUUGUACUCAAUUAAAGGUAGAUUUUAAUCUUAUCAGUAUGGAUAGAGUUUAUAUUUUUAUAAAUUUUGUUUUGUAUUUUAUAGUAUUUCUUUUCUUCCUUCCUCCACAUUUUAAUUUCCUAAUUUAGGUUUAAAUACCUAUUUCACCAUUUGUAUAUUCCUAGUAUCAAUAUUUUAUUUUUAAUGCACAAUCAAAUAAACUCCAACAUGAUGCAUUAGGUAUAUAUUUAUUCUAAUUAAUUUAUUUGUUUGAGAAAUGUUUGAAAUAUGAAGCUCUCUCAUAUUGUUCCUUUCUUUUUAGAAAAAUAGUAUUUUGAUUGUGGGAUAGGAAUUGAAGUUACUUCAAAAUUAAAUAUUCAUGUAAAUGAUUGCUUAUGGUGCAUCAUUUAAUGAAAUGCAUAAGCAUUUAGUUGAAUAGAAAAAUUUUCUAUUACUCCUUUUCUAAAAUAAUUCUUGGUUUCCAAAAUUGAGUCCUCAAUUUUCAACACUCAAGUAUAAUUUGAGAUAUCUAAAUUUACUAUUUUAUUUCUUCUUGUUUUUAUUUUAUUAUUAUUAUUAUUAUAUACAAAUUUUGGGUCUUACAAAUCCUACCCCCUUAAUAGAAAUCUCGUCCUCGAGAUUUGUAAGAAAAGGGUGUAUAACCAUGUUACCUCAGAACAUAUGCACAAACAAAAUCUCAGCAUGAUGCAUAAUUUAUUAGCAACACAUAGGGUCAAUUAGACUUUAUUAUUCCUCCUAAAAUAGUAUCAUACCAACUACUAACUAAAGUAACACUAAGAUCUUACAAAUAGUAAUAUAUAUAUAUAUAUAUAUAUAUAUAUAUAUAUAUAUAUAUAUAUAUAGCUUGGUGGAGCUGGUGGUGGUGGCGGAGGUAGUGGUUGUUGUUGUUGUUGUCUUUCCAACCACGCUUGCCUCAUUUCUUGACGCAUCUCCAGCCGGUCCUGACGUAUUUCCUAGCAUUCUUGCCUUAUCUGAUUUUGCAUUUCGUUAAUCAUGUUUGUCAUUUGUUGUAGCACCAGCAUUUGGGCGGCAACCACUGGAUCUAUUCCACCUGGUGGAGGAUUUGGAGGAUUCAUUUCUAUUUGUUGUUCCUUAUAAUCCUCCCUUCCUGGUAUUGACCAUCAGAGUUAGAAGCAUAUGGUAAAAUAGUUUUUGCAAGGGAAAUUAUUUGGUAGGCAAAACGAAUAGGCUAGUAGCUGGUUAUGAACUGAAGAUUCUUUGGCGGGGCUUAAUCUGUUGUUUUAUGUCAAAGUUGGGAUAGCUAGUUGUAUAAGGUGAAUGCCCAAUUGUAAGAUAGAAUCUGCCAAGAUGAGAUAGACAUGGGUGAGAUAGACUACAUGAUGUAGGUCAAAAUCUUGUUUGAUGUUAGGUGGGGAUAGUCAGAUUAUGCAAUUCAUCAUGACUCUACUGGUUGAGUUAAAUCUUUUUGCUCUUGGUUGAGUUGGUCUAAUGUGCUAAGUUAAGUUAACACCUGGCUAGUAGGGUCUAAUCUGUUCUACCAGUCUCACUAAUCUGUUUAAGUAGAUCACAUUAGAUUAGAUCACAUUAGAUUAGAUCACACUAGAUUCUAUAAUCCUAUUUAAGGAUACCAUUUAGUUGAGCAUAUCAAGCUGACUUUAUCUUCAUGAAAUUCUACUAUCCUUUCUUUAUCUAAGUGGAACUUCCAAUUAGUAUUUUUUAUAUACCUAAAAUUUUCAUGUCGAUAGUAGGUGUGGCAUAGAAAACAGGGGUAUAUCAGGUUUUAGCUAUUAGGUGAGUGUAGAGAAGAUUUGGGGGUAAAAUAAAGUUGAGUAAUGAAGAUUUUUUUAUUCCGGGUGGUGGAUCUUGAUUCAUCUGAAGAUCUGUUUCUAUCUCAUAUCCUUCGUUGUCGAGGUUUAGCUACUUCUUGAUUUAGUGACCAUCGAUUGUGGUGUUAGAUGCCAUUAUCCGAGUUCGGAUAUCAAUUGCGAGUAUAUGGGGUAGGUAGGUUAAACAAAGUUUUACUUUGCUUUUGAGAUAAAUGGGUUGGGCAACCUAUCACAUAGGCUAGGUCGUGGUUUCACGGACGAGUUGGUCUAAGACACCAAUUUAGGUUUAAAACCCAUUUAUAGGAAUAUGGUCUAAUCUAUAUUACCAGUGUUGACUGACUUGUUUAAGUAAUUCCCUUUAGAUUAGAUCAUAUUAGAUUAGGUAGGGUCUAGAUUAGACUGGAUAUACCUAGAUUAGACUAGUUUAAGUUAGAUAGAUCUACCAGGGUAGAAUAUAUAUUAUUAGGAUAUGUUAGAAUCUUUUGAGAUAUGGUGGCUUAUAUGGUGCAGGUAGGUCAGAAUCUUUGUUAGGUUAAAAUAGAGGGGUUAUGCAACCAUCGGUUGGUUAAGGUAGUUGUCUAAGGCCGAGUUGGUCGGUCAUUCUUAACUUAGUGCAGAGUGAAUUAAGUUAAAACAUAUUUUAUAGGAGUAGAGACUAAUCCAUAUUAUCAGUAUUAACUUUCAUGUUAAGCAACCUACAUUAGAUCAGCUCAACUUGAGGUUAGCCUUCGUUAUGUUAGAUUAAUCUAUCACAUUAGAUCAGAUUCAAGUAUGACUAGCUUCGAUUAGACAAGAUCCAAUUAAUUUGGGUUAGAUCAUGAUCAUGGUGGGAUAAAUCAUGUGGUUUUAGUCACACAAAUAUAACUUAGAUCUGAUAUCAUUAUUUUGGAUUAGAUCCUGGUUGUACUUUAGGAUGAGAUAAGUAAAGUGGUUAGGAUAAGAUGAUUCCUUCAAGAUAAGAUGAAUCUAUUAAGAUAAGAGAGAAACUUUUAAGAUAAAAUUGAUCUAUUAAACUAGAUAUAUUUUUUAAUGGGGAAUAUUCUGUGUUGUCUAUUUUAUAAAUAUUUUCCCUUAUGUCUAGGUGUAUAUGCAGAUGCAAUUGUGGACAUUACUCCACAAUCCAUCACACUCAAUCAAAGAUCCAAAUCAGACAUGUAUCACAAGAACAAAAAUUCAAGCAUACAAAUGUUUACGAAAAUAGUUUUGAAUUUGUUCCUAAGAGUAGAUCUCCUAUUCCUAAAGGUCACUUUAGGUAUGGGAUUUCGAAGUGUGAAAUCCACAUCUGUCUUUAGAAGGAAAAGGUAAGAAUAAUCAGAGUAAAGCGGAAAUAGAUGAGAAAAGAUUAAGAAAAGUUUAGAAAGAAUCAGAGUAGCAAAGAUAAGUAAGUAUUGGUUAUCCAGUUCUAUCUAGGUUUCGUCCUACAGUCAACAUUCCUCUGAUACCACUUCUGUCACACCCGGAUUUAAGGGACAAAGCCGAGUGCAUCUCAUAUAUGCGCCAAGGAAGACAACACAUAUAAUAACAGAGUUUAUAGAGAUAAUUGUCACAAUAUAAUCAGAGUACUUAUUACAUAUCGGAAGUCUUACAAAAUAAAAGAUAAGUAUAAAACAAACUAAAUCCAUCCUUGGUGCCAUAGAGUCAACUGGGAGACGCCACCUAGAUCAAGUCAAACUCCUCGUUGUGUGGCUCCUCUUGAACCACCUGUUCUUCUCCUGUGGGGGGGUGUGUGAGAUAGCAAGGGUGAGCUCACAGGUGUUCAUCGCUCAACAAGUUGUGGGGAAUAAUGUGUAUGAACUCACCAAAGGUGGGAGUUCAUGUGAGGUGUAAGGCUGAUCAAUAAUAGGGGUUAAAGCUGAGCAUUGCUUUUAAUAAGUUGGUCAAAUUUUAUUAGCAGUUACUACAUGUAAGUAAAUACCAAUCCAUAAUAAGAAUAGAAAAAAAAAUAAUAAAUAAUCCCAUGCAAUGCAAUUGACAAAUUGAAUUUAGUUCCAUAGUUUAAUCAUGCGAGUGUCCUGAGCUGCUCUUGACCAUGAGCUCGGCUAGUAUACCAGUUUUACACUCUACAGAGGUUGUACCCUGUACCCACAAGUCAUGUUACCCAUCUGCCAAGGGGUCAUGAAUCCCAUACACCUCUACCAAGGAAGCGAGGCAGGGUAACACUGCGAGGCCUUUACAAAGUUCCACUAGCUUCUGAAAACCUGCUACUGUUUCUGGGAAGAGCAAUUGCAAGAAACCCUCGACUGACCGCCAUCUCAGCAAAAUCAACCCGAGAACCUCCCUGCCUGCCUACUCCCCUACUGCCCUUGCCCCUUUAGGGUAAGGUAGUCUUCCACUAGCUUUCCUAAUUAGUCAGCCAAGGGCGUCCCAUUUCACCCUUGUGGUGGCACGUGUUUCUCAAGUUAAGCUCCAUGUUCCAAUUAAAGAUAAUUAUCUUGACAUGAACAUAAAUAAAAUAACAAAAUAAUUGGAACAUGGAUAUAAUAAAAUAUUAACCCAAAACCAUAUAAAGCAAUAGCAAACUACCCAAAUGAUUCAGGGGUAAACAAGGUAAAAGAUAAUUAGACUAGGGCAACCUAUUGGGUCCCAUCAAAAUUAAACAUAUGCAUGAAUACAUGAUUAUAAAGAACAUUAUUGGGUAAUAAAUGUGGUCAAGGACACAACUUGCCUUCAAUGAGCUCCUGCUCAGCAACUUCUACCUGCUGAACACCGGGAUCCUCAGCCACUGGAUCUUCUACUCGCCACAAUACAAACAAGCAUAGUAUAAAGGAGAAAUUAACAUCACACUAAACAUGUAAACAAAAUACAUAUUAAUAAUCUACACAUUAAAAUAAGACUAUAGAAAAAGAAUCAUUAAAUUUGGAGUUAUGGAUUUUAAGUUAUGAAUUUCUGAAGGUUUUAAAUAUUUGAUACAAGAUUAAUUAGGGGGUCAAUUUUAAUGUGGCUUUCAUGUCAAAAUAGUGGCACUAAUUGAUAAACAAUAAUAUUACAAAAUUAGAGGAACAGGAAUGGAUCAAUUUGGACUUAAUAUGAAUUUUCUAUGAAUUAAACAAGUUCUAGUGAUUAUUUUUACAUUAAAAAUCAAUAUCUGUUAUUAAUUAUCAAAUUCCUCUGGUCUCUGGACUGUGCCUCAAAAACUGAGAAGUGCAGGGGCCUAAGCGUGAUAAAUCCCAAGACUCAGGAUGACUCUGUCAUGGACCAUGGGUUGUUUACUAAUAAGUUCAGGGUCUAUUUAGUAAGGUGGCCUGCCGAAUGGGGUAUCGUGGAUUUACGGUCGUCCGAUUCUAAACGAACGGAUCAGAUUAGAUCGUCGCGAUAUAUAACGUGUAACCCGCCCUGAUCGUCCGAUACCGCAUCAACGGCGGAGAGGCGGCCACACUCUGACCAGACCAGAACCGCACAUCACCGAAUCAAUGUCUCUGAUCAAAUCUCGUGAAGGGGGGGGUAUGCGGCACAACAUAUCUACCGUCGGUCAUCGAUCCAACGACCCUGCGCUAUCACUCUCCCCCGACGCAGCCCGCCGGUGGCACCACCAACCCAGACGGUGGCGAGCUCGCCGGCGCGAGUAAAUCCGGCGCCCGAGACACAAUCCCGGGCCCCCGUGACUUCCGUACGAUGCCCAAACCCACCCGAACGCACUGGCCUAACAAUCACCGGGAUCGCGCAACACCGGCGCACACCCACGGCGAGCAGCGGCCGUCGCCAGUGAGCCGUUGCUACCUUCGAUCCAGUGCGCGUUUUCAAGCGUAAUUUAAUAUCUACACUUGGAUCAUAUAACGGGGAUCGGUAGGGGUGUCCUCACCGGGGUUUGACCACGCCGAUGGGGACACCACGGCGGAUUGGGGCUCCGAGAAGGUGUCCUACGACGACGAGCAAUCGCCGAUCACCCAACUCUGAUUCUGCACGACACUGUGGCUCACACGAAUGGUGAAGACUCCACGGCUUCCCUUUCGGUCGCCCACUGGAAACGAGGAGGCACACACAGCUGACCAUUGGCGGCGGCGGCGCAGCUUGAUUUCAUUCCCUCCCUGACGGCGCCUCGCGCGAGGUUGGGGAAGAAGGAAGAAGAGGAAGAGGUAAGGAACAUCGGACGCUGGGUCUUAUACCCAGGAAGGAUAGGUUUUGCACAAGGUUCGCAUUGAUCGUGGCACUGCAAGGUCCACAGAGGUCUUCGCGAGGUAGUUGAGGAUGGAACUGACGGGUAGGGUCCACUCAACAGCUAGCGUACGACGAGGCAGUCACAGGUAAGUGGGUCCGGCGUGUCAGUCAAAGUUUGUGCACGGCGAGCGACUGACCGGGACGGUCCACCAGUCAACGAAACGGGGAGAAAGAAGCGCGCGCGGAGUGGCUGUCGUGGUGGUCCCGCAUGGUCAGCGCGCGCGGGCGUGAGUUUAUGGGCCGGGAGCUACACUUUGGGCCCAAGGUCGAUCUGCAGGUCUGAUCUCCUUUAUUCUUUUUCUGGUUUUUCUUUCUCCUUUUAUUUUAAAUUUCCAAUUUAAACUCCAAAUAUACAUGUGAAUUUUGUACUCAAUUAAAGGCAGAUUUUAAUCUUAUCAGUAUGGAUAGAGUUUACAUUUUUAUAAAUUUUGUUUUGUAUUUUAUAGUAUUUCUUUUCUUCCUUCCUCCACAUUUUAAUUUCCCAGUUUAGGUUUAAAUACCUAUUUCACCAUUUGUAUAUUCCUAGUAUCAAUAUUUUCUUUUUAAUGCACAAUCAAAUAAACUCCAACAUGAUGCAUUAGGUAUAUAUUUAUUCUAAUUAAUUUAUUUGUUUGAUAAAUGUUUGAAAUAUGAAGCUCUCUCAUAUUGUUCCUUUCUUUUUAGAAAAAUAGUAUUUUGAUUGUGGGAUAGGAAUUGAAGUUACUUCAAAAUUAAAUAUUCAUGUAAAUGAUUGCUUAUGGUGCAUCAUUUAAUGAAAUGCAUAAUCAUUUAGUUGAAUAGAAAAUUUUUCUAUUACUCCUUUUCUAAAAUAAUUCUUGAUUUUCAAAAUUGCGUCCACAAUUUUCAACACUCAAGUAUAAUUUGAGAUAUCUAAAUUUACUAUUUUAUUUCUUCUUGUAUUUAUUUUAUUAUUAUUAUUUUUUAUGUACAAAUUUUGGGCCUUACAACGUUGUGGAGGAUCUGUGGGAACGGUUGACAUAUGCAAGGGUUAAGUGCUACAUAUGUCGUGUGGUUAGGGAUCCCCAGCUGGGUAUAAUCGACUCGAAUCAUCGUUGCUCCUCGGUCAUGGAGACUCUAGCCUUCGACCACUCAUCAUAGUUAAUAAGUAAAAUAAGAAUUUGGUAAAAGAAAGCUAGACUAGAACAAGUGAAUGCUCUAGAUUAGGCAAAUCUAGAUUCAGGAAAAGUACUUAACUUGUGAAGUACAUUUUUGGCAUAAGGAUCCACUACUAGUAAACUUUUCUGCAAAAGAGUCUUUGAAUCUUGAUAAGCUUUACCUUGAUUCCCAAAAGCCAGCAUAUCCUUGAGAUUAUUUUUCCUUAGACGGGUAAGACUUGCGAAAGUACACUUCGUACUCAGGGUUUUCGAACCCAUGUUGUUGUAGGUACUAGAUUUAUGCUACUGUUGAUGGUGUUAAGUGCCGGUGGGCUCGGCCUUCUUAUAGGUUAAAGUAGCUCUUCUAUAUUGCUUAUUAAGGAUUGUCAUUGAGCUAGCAUAUAUUUCAAACUAACAAAUAAUUUAUAACAUCUCAAAGUACAUUUCUUUGAAUCACUUUUGUAAUCACUCCGAUAAAUAUAAUGUAAACUUGUUGUAACUCGUAACAUGUUGUAAUAAAGAAUUUCCGCUGCAAAUGUUUGUAUGUGAGUUGUGUUUACUUAAUCUUGUGAUCCUGGUUAUAAGUGGUUUAUCCAGGGUCCUUGGGACACUCGAACGGUUCCUGUUAAGUUAUCCGGUGCACAUGCAUAGCCGUCUGAGGUCUUUGAGACGAGGACAGGUGCAUGUGGGCCCAAUAACUUGGGAGGUUCUGCCACAUCUGGUAUCGGAGCUGGAUUAAGUAUAAUACGUUCACAAAUGUAUUUUCAAAACAAAGUUUUGGUUUUGGAAAACCUAUUUUCUACUAAACACAUUGUUUGGUUUUGAAAAAAAUAGAUUUGAAAAACUAUAAUGCUAGUGACAUCCUCUAUUAAGCCCUAAAUUAAGGACUAUCAGGUGGCUUAGAUCAAAACACUAACCUACAACUGGGUGAUAAUGCAUACAUGUGUAAUGUUAUUUUUUAGGCCAUUUUGUCUUGAAUGGAUCAACACUUAGGUAAGGUGAGAUGUGAGAGCAUGACCGAACAAACGUCAGUCUAGGGGAGAGCAUAAUUGAAGCGCUUGACUAUAUACAUGUUCUACAUAUGUAUAUAUGAAGGUUGCGAUGUAGAGUAUUUACUUUUCUGGGAUUCGGUACCCCAUGUGUGUGUAUGGGUGUACAUGCAUGGGAAUACUGAGAAGUGUAAUGUACUUGUAAUGACGCACCUACACUAAGGUAAGAAGGUGAGCUACCAUAAUGGGCUGCCCUGUGGUUAAAGUGUGGCAGCGGCGCCUAUGCGUGGCUCGGCGCUUAAUGAGGAGCUGACCUCCAUAUAGAAAUAUAUGGAGUAUAAACUGUCAUGUGUGGAUCUUGCAUCAUGGGAAACAGGGCUGUGAUGGAUUUUUUUUCUGCAGGUACACUAACCUCGAAAACAUAUGCUUAGUUGACAAUUAGCAAAAUACCGAGAGAGUCAUAAGUAUGCCACCGAUUUAGAACACUAUUGCCACAAUGGAUUGGCAAAAACUUGUGAGGACGAAUAAGACGAGCAUGCAUCCUGAUUGUUGCAUCAUGUUUGUCACCUAUACAUCCAAAAUGCUUCUCUCAUCUUUAUUCCAGUAACCAGUGAUUGUAGAUAAUGUGGUGUAAGGUUGUAUUAUGAACUCCAAUGAAUUAGUUGUCCUCCAUUCUUUAGGUAAUCUGUUUAGGUAUUAUAUGUGUUAGCUCUUGUUUUUGAUGUGCCGAUAGAAUGUCGAUGACUUGUUUGCCUAAACCCAAAGCCAGGCCAUGUGCUCAUUUAUGACCCAAAUUUGUAUUAAUCUCUAAAUUAUUUAUCCUAGGUCUCAUCUUGUGUGAUGGUAAUUAUUUUCACAAGAUACUUGGUAAGUUUGUAGUUAGACAAAGCCAUAUCCUCAUCAUCUCCAUCCUUGAUGUAAUAUACGAUCUAAUCCAUAGUUUUCUCAUUCUUCCAAAAUUUUCCUCCAAGUCUUCAAGUGUGGAGGGAUUUGAAUUUUCCGUUGUCGCUUCAGGACCAAGCUCAUUUAAAUAGGUGUUUAGGUAAUCUCCUCAUAGACAAUAAAUGCACAUGAGCUUAAGACAAGGAUCUCGAGUACUCGUCAUUUAAUUCGUGAAUCUUCAGUGGUCAUGGCUUCCUCCUAAGCUCCGCCUUGUUUUGGUUGGUGCAAGCUGCUAUUCAUAUUCCAGUUUGCCUCUUCUUGAGGAUCACAUCGUUGCUUUAUCAACCUAACCUAAAAAACAUGCCCAAUCAUUUUCUUGAGUUUGAUGCCUUUGGUUUCCUUAUAUCUAUUGAAGGCAUACCAAUUUAAUCUUAUGAUUGUUUUCUCUCGGUAUCUAAUCAUAUACUAAUCCUUGACAUUGUAAUCUCUGCAAUGGGCAUAGAAAUAUGCUUGGGGCUGAAUUAACAGUCUCUCAUUGUACUCCCUUAUUCAAGUUUAGGUUUUGGCCAUAUCUUGUUCAUUUCAUUGGGCCAUGAUCUAUUUGGCUCUCUACUUGUAACUGUUCUUACAAGUGGAGUAUCUUUUGUAUAUUGUCAUCCUGGCUGAGUCUAUCUGUGCUGCAUGAGAUUUCUUAUUAGUUAUGUCUGGUAAUGGUGUUAUGACUAAAACCGAUGGUGCCGCUACGAAACCGAGGGCCUCCUGUGCCAUCAACACAUGUUUGCACUACUUGGCACGCGCUGGUAUCACAGUUAGUAGUCAUAAUCCAUUUUGAGACUAUAUCGAUAUGUUAUCUCUGCACAAAUUGUUCUUACCACGUGAGAUUCAUUGAUGGUGGCAGUUCGGUAAUGGUGUCACGAUUAAUGACUUAUGGUGCCGCCGUGAAACUGAGAGCCCCUUGUGAAUGUACACACAAGGUUAUGCUUCUUGGCACAUGUUGGUAUCGAGGUCUCUAAUCAUGAUCCAUUAUGGAACUACACUGAUAUGUUAUCUUCCGUAAACCUUUCCCUUGAAAUAAUUUCUAUGUUGUUUGUGAAAUGGUCAAGCAACAUGUGUCAUCUCUAUUGAAUCAUGGAGCAUACUUCUUUAAUGUGCUCUUUAACGAAUUCACUACCAAUUUAGAAAUCACCAAAAAAUCAAAUCAGAACUCAUAUGUGUCUAAUCGUGUGAUAAAAAAACUACCCCUUUUCAUGUGUGGUCUCUUUUCUCUUGACCUUGGUGGUAACUGCACAUCCUUUCGCAUCAUUUGUUGUAAAGGUGAAGCCUUGGCACUUUUUAAGGUUGAGAUACAACUAAUUAGUCCUCAUAAUAAAGAUCAACUCCCCAACUGAAAUGCAGGAGUUUAUUCAUUCGCUUCCUUAUUGGAUUCAUAGAUCUUUUAUGCAUGUUAGUUUGUCUCACGUGGAGGAGAUGGAUGAACAACCUGAUCAAAUGUAUCUUUAUCCAAAUACACGACCUCCUACUCACAAAUGUGAACUCUCAACCUCUGGUUUGCCAAUGGGUAAUAAGAGAACUUGCUCAACAUCAAGAGUAGUUCAACGAGUUGGUUUUACAAACUUGAAACUACAUUGCGAUCAAAGGUUGAGUUUAGAUAUCAUUUUGUCAAGUCAGCUAAACUCAUUCUUAAUUUAAUCGCCUUGAGGAAGCGUUUACAAGAGGUCAAGUCGACGGGUAACCACCUAGUCAUCAUACUAGUCGUGCCUCGAUCACCUUUCAUGUGAUUUUUCCAACAUGUGUGGUUCAGCAGAGUCACACUAGUGCUUAAUGAAGUUGAAUCAUUGUGAAGUCAAUGUUUGUUGAUCACCUUCACUACUGUAUUCGUCGAAUUUCUACCAUCUUUCAUGGACUUGGAUUUUCUAGCUAGCCAUGGGUCAACUGCGAUGUUGUUCGACAUCCACACCUGUUUCGUGUGUUAUGGACAUCCAAGGACGAUUUAUCGACGAAUUUCUUUCGCUGUGCUUUACCCAAGAGGUUGUAUCAAACUUGACUUGGAUAAUUACCAUCCACCUAUCCACUGCUCUUUCCGCGGACUUAGAUAAUAUAGUGUUAUCAGAGGAAUAGAACUGCGUACAUGGAAUCUUACAAGGAUAGUGUGGUACAUGCUGCACCCACUAGAGAAAUAAACAUCUUGAAGUAGUGACCUUUGCUUGGAACUGCCUUAUGUGAUCGCUGAUAUGGACAGGAGUUACAUGCUUCUUUACUCUUAAAAGUCUUUCGCCCCAAAUCUCAGGACGAGAUUCUUUUAAUGGGGAGGGCUGUAACGCCCCAGGUGUUUACCUCCUGCUUGACAACGAUUAUGGGCUUAAGUACGAGUUAUCAACGAGAACAACAGUCUCUAUAUAUUAAUCAUCUUCACCCAUGUCACACCCAGUUUUAGAAGGCAAACCAAAUGUGAACCAUGUACGUGCCAGGAUCAGCAAUUCACGUACACAACAGUUACAUAACCGGACAUCAUCACACAGUGCUCAAAUAAUAACAUAAAAGAGGGUAAUAGUUGAUUACAUCAUGAUGUCCGAGACAUCCACAUAGUCAUUACCAAAUAUCAAAGUGCGAAAAUGAAAUGUAGAUAAACACGGCCUUCACAGGCAGCCGACUGGGGGUUUGCCGCUAACCCACGCCUAGAACUCAUCGUACUCUUGGAUGUCCUGGAGGUCCUCCACCACGACUUCAUCUUCUCCUGAGCAGUGGUUGCAACGUGGACAACCUGGGGGGUUGGUGUGUAAAUCAAGGGUGAGUACACAUCAACAUACUCAGCACUUGUCCUGUUUGGUUGUAGUGGACUAGCUUUAUGUGGGGUUAAGGUUAAGCAAUUGCUUUUAGUUGGUCAGGUAAUUAUUACUAGUAGAGAGCCAGGUUUUAGCAUUAACCCAAGUUGUUAACCCAAAAGUACCCUUUCCAAACGGAAAGAAUACCAGAAACCAUAAUCAAAAUCACAAUAGAAACCAACAUUAUCCUCAUCAUCAUCUGUAAACAAAACAUCUCUUAUCAAUGUGUCUCUAAUCAAUGGAGCUCCCUUGGCCGCUCAUAACCGCGAGCAUAGCUGAUAUAUCAGUUUCAUAACACUCUGCAGAAGUUGCGCACUUUACCCACAAGUCGUGAUUCCCUUUUGCCUCGGGCCGAUCAAACCCUUAAACACUACCAAUGUGAAUAGGCAAGGUUUCACUACGUAGCCUUUACAAAGAUUCCCUGAGGCUAUAGCCACCCGUUAGGUUUCCUAAAUGUACAGCACUCCUCCCCAAGGGGGAAUCCACCCUCGACAGAGCUGGCCGCAUACACCGAGCCCCAUUGACGGCAUGACGGCAAAGCGAACUACACCCCAGUUCCUCUAAUUAUUCAGCUAAGGGCGUCCCAUACCACCCUUAUGGUUGCACUGUUUUCUUGGGCAGUCAUCCAACGAACCAGUCCUUACGGAGAGGCACUCGAGAAACCGCUCGAGUCCCCUUAAAUGUCACAAUAUCAUCAUCAUAAUCAAAAGGGAAAACAACAUAUCAUAAAUAAUCUCAUCAUGUUCAUUGAUUAGUGUGAAGCUCUAGCAUCAAGCUAAACCAAAAUAACCCAACCCACAUAGGUAAACAAGGACAAGAUAAACAAAGCUAGUCAAUCCUUAGGUAUAAAUUGUGUAAACGCGGGGAGUGAAUUAUAAAAUGAGUAGGACAUAGAUGGGUCAAGGGACACUUGCCUUCACCAACCAGCUGCUGCUCAGGGUCUUCACCUGCAACUCUUUCGGACUCCGCCAACUGACCGUUAUCUAUACGAGUUCAAACAUAUAUUCCACAAAUUUAAUAUAAAAAGAACAGUACACCACACAGUAGACUAUAACAAAUAAGCAGACGCUUGGCGCAGGGCUCGCACCUACGACAAAACGAGAAAGAGAAAACAACGGUCGAGGCUACGGUCGAAAGGCGAUUAUGUUAAGCAGUUAUGGAAUAAAGUACUUGUCUAAACAUAACCAUAUUAAUUUUGACAAUCGCGCUAUGCAUAAAAUCAAGUUAAGCUACGCGUUUAAUUAUUAUAAACAAUUCAAGAUAAUUUAAAAGGAAUGUCGCGCGGCGAAACGCACGACGGCACACGCGAACUAAACUGAAAAAUUGGGACAAGUUGCCGUGCGACGAGGCACGCGACAGCACACACGAACUAAGCUGAAAAAUAAAAUGAAUCGUCGCGCGGCGAAGCGCGCGACACAACACUUAGACUAAACUAAAAUUAAACGAAAUGUCGCGAGACGAAGCGCUCAAUGGAACACUUAAAUUAAAUAUGAAAAUAACGUAAAUCGUCACGUGACGAAGCGCACGACGGCAUACAUCACUUAAAAACUGAAUUUAGAAUAAAUUGUCACGCCGACGAAACACGCGACGCAACAUAUUAAAUAAUCUAAAAUUAAAAUGAAUUGUCGCGCGAUGAAGCGCGCGACGCAACAUAUAAAUAAUCUGAAAUUAAAAUCAAUCGUCGCGCGAUGAAGCGCGUGACGCAACUCAUAAAUUAAACUAAAACUAAAACUAAUCAAACUGGAUUUUAAACAUUACACGCUAGGGCUACGCGCGCGGGAACGGGACUGCGCGCACGGAGCGGGGGAGGGCACCAGGGGCACGCGCGGCCAGGGACGCGGCCAGGGGCACGGCCAGGGGCCAGCAGGGGCGCGCUGGGAAGGGAGGAGGAGGGAGAGGAGAGGGGAAGACAGAGGGAGGUGGGAGCUCACCUCGGGGCUCGAGAUCGCGACAACCGCCCACCGGAUCACACCUAGGGAAAAGGAGGUGGAAAAGAGGUGGGAGAGAGGGAGAGGAAGUUGCUGCGCGGGAAAAGAAAAUGAGAGGGAGUGAGAGGGGGCGCGCAUGGGGGGUGGGGGCGCCAGGGGCUGGGCCGGGCCGAAAACCCACUGCACGCACAACCACUAAUCAGAAUCAAAUCACGAAUCAAAAACUGAAACGAGACGGACGCGCGAUUAAACACAACAUCAGACAAAUAAAUAUGCUUCGGCAUGAUGCAACACCCAUGUCAACUUAGGUUUUUGUUUACACGUGAUACGGACACCAGUCACUAUACUGCUUUGAAAUUUGGAAGAAGGGGCAAAACGGGAAGAGAAAAGAGAGUAACACCUGAAUUUGGUGAGUAUCGGAGAAGAAAAAAUUUACCCCUCAAAUUCAGGGCGUUACAAACCAUCAUGAUUUCAAUGUCGUCUGCCUUCGUCUAUCGGGACUGUCCAAAAUAUUUCUCGAAGUUCGGAUUUUAGUAACCUUCAAAAAUGCCGAGUCCGGUGCUGUUCAGAUUGGUCGAGAGCGUGAAUGCGAUUUCAAAAAUAGUUCGAGUUUAUAAUUUCGACCGCGUUAAUGUCCAAGAAAUAUAAGGCGUAGAGUUAUUAAUCGAAUUGCUUUCUAGUCGAAUGUUCGGAUGGCGAGUAAAAAUUGUCUAAAUUUAACCGAGAUGAAUGCAAAUUAAAAUUAAUCGAUUAAUGCGAAUUGGAAAAGUCGACUAAGUAGUUUAAUCUUGUCUGAACGGUUUUAUGGACUUUGUAGCAAAACUCAUUAAUCGUAGGUUGUUAAAUAAACCAAACCCAAACUAACUUAAACUAGAUUAAUUGCUUGCUGAUUCAGUUUCCUAUUUCAAAGUUAGAGAAAAUCAUGCCUGGGGUUAGUAAUUGGAAUUGUUUCUCCUAGCAUGUUAUCCUUGGUGUCAGAUCAAAUGAUCGAUAUCGGGUAAAAUAAAACUGAACCCAACUGGAAUCAACUGUAGUUCAAAAGUAUCGAAACCAAAAUUGUUUUAAUCUGGUCCGUUUACAUCUUGCCCAGAAUAAUCAUAAAAGUUAUCCAAACGAAAUUUAACUAAGACCGUAUGAACCGUUAUUACUCUUAUUCUUCGUUUCAUGAUUGGGAAAAUGAAAUGUGUAGCCCGUAUAGCGCAUCGAUCCAUUAUACAUCGCUAAAAUCCUAAUUCGGAAACCUUGCAAAAGGUGAAGAAAUCAAUUUUUUGCCUUCAACCACUGUACUACUCCUUUGUCUAGAUUAUCCCUUGUAAAUUACAAUUACUGCCCACGGUCCUUAUCUCCACACCAUUUCUUAGUUGAGAAGCCAGUCAGCUCUCUGAAAGCGUGUCCACGCACUCGUUCUCUGGAAAAUUCACAUCGCUUACCAGGUUCUCAGUCUUAUCUCUAUUUCUUGCUUUAUACCAUCGUUGUAAAGGCUCCAAUCUUAUCUCAUGUACGGUGUUUUCAUCUCUAGAAGGUGUUGGCUCCCUGUGAUUUUUUUGAAGCCGCUUUCAGGUCCUUAUUUCCCCACCGCUCAAAACUGAUCUUUUCAUCGUGCGUGACCGUGUGGAGGCACUGUCUCUUCACCAGUGCCUAGCCAUAGUGCUGCUAGAGCUCGUCAGCGCACUCUGCUCCCCUGGCGCUGCUCUAGGUUCAGUCGGCGUCUUCCUCACGUUGCUGGUCAGCAGAGCUCGCCCGACUUUGACCUCUGCCUUGCCCUUGACCCCACUUGCCCGUCCCUGUUCUCGACGCUCGAGCUCACCUCAGCUCCGCUGUGCCCCUAUCAGCGGACGUGCUCGGUCUCGGCCACGUCCCUGCACCCUGUGUUCAGCCUCCUUCCUGCAUCAGCGGACGUGACGGCUGCUGCGAGCACCCCUUCCUUCUCCCCAGCCUCACCGUGGCCAACAGCUUCAAAUCCAUGGGCGAGCCACCCUCUUCACCUUGCUGCGCGCCGGAAGCCUCUCUCUGCUCGAAUCGGUGUGGUGCUCUGGCCAUGCGUCCACUCUACUCGGACCUCGAGUCUCCCUGCUGCCCACAACUGUCACACUAGCCAUCGUGGCGUCGUUAUUUCCUGCUGCGCCGCGACAUCGUCAAGCUCCGGUGCUUAGUGUCGAAGUCGAUGCGCCGUUGUCGCUCUGGCUUCCUUUGUCGUCGCGCGGUGUGUGGCGGUCGUGUCCACCUCCAUGGCAUCAACAUCUGCAUCCCCGGCAUCGUCGUCGUUUUAGCAGCUUGUUGCACCUUGCGUUCGCGCCAGAAGACAAAAGGGAAGCGAGUAUAGGUGCAUCGUCGAUUUCAUGGUUUCAAGUUGGAUUUAGCUUUGGUGAGUUGAUUUAUUAUUUUUGUUAGCUGGUUUGAUGAAUGGCUUGGCUAGGUGUGUUAGUCGUGAUGAUCUUGUGACUAUACUUAGUGUUGUUCAACCAAUCGUUUCAUGCAGUGAGGUGAUUGUGAAGUGGUCGCGUUAGGUGUUGAAGUCUAGAUUUUAAAUAUAGAUUUAUGCAAAGAAUAUUAGUAGAUAUAUAUAUAUGCGAUAUGAUUGUGUUAACGUUUGUGACAUAUUUGCGUCAUAUGAAAUAUAGGUUUAAGAUUCCAUUUAUGGGAAGAGUGCUUCAUUGGGUAUAUAUAUAAUCCGCGUAUAUUUAACUAGAUUUUAUAUGCGUGACAAGUGGUGAUAGUAAGUAUUUGUGAAAUACUUUGUUCAUGUAGUAAUGUGAUAGAAUCCAAUAUUGUUAAAUCGAUGCCUCGUAUCAUGUGUCUAGUAAAUUGCUUCCUUGAUGCUUGCCCAAAGCCUUGUUGGUUAAGAAAUUAAUUAACUUGUUGUCAUCCUUAUUGUAACACCCCGGGAUCCACAAACACCCCAGAAUGCUACUAAACUACACUUCUAACAUUCGUAUAUAAAAUUUCGACAGCAUCUCCUUUGAAAAAUUGCAUAAACGGGAAAGCAACAAAUUAUAAAUAGACAUCAUGAUAAGAAAACAUAAUCGACAUUAAUAAUCAGCUAGCAAUGGGAAGACAAUCAUAACGGCAUGAACUAAAUUAACUAGUGCGCACAACUAGUUAGAAACAAACAUCCUUUGACAUGAAGCUUCUAAUUAAAUCAUGACUGCACCUAAGCAGCGUUAUUAUGAGAGUGAAGGUGGAUGUGCUGCUACUUCCCACUUCUCUGGAUGAGCAACAAGCACCUGCAUUGAGUAAUACAAGAGUGAGAUGAAACAUCUCAGCAAGCAAAUUGUUUUGACGAGAUAUUUAAACCACAAAUUGAAUUAAUCAACAUUUUAAAAGAAUCACAAUUAAGAUCAGAAAUACUUGUAGAUAUAGAACUCAGUAGUCCCAAUAUAACCAAUACCAUCUCAUUUCCUCGAACAACCACAAUAGGUUCAAUAACACUUCCCCGCGUCAACAAAACCUACAAAUAUCACUUCAAUGUAUUCAUAGGAGUGCAAAGUGUAGGUACUCUGUCUUCAUACCUCUGAGGGUAUAAAACCACAUCAUCUGCAAAUAUCACUUCAAUGAAUGCAUAUGAAUGCAAUGCAUAUAUCCUCUGCCUUCAUACCUAUAAGGGUAUGAAGCCGCAUCGUACCCCUCCUCAGGCAACGUACGAUGCUAAGUUGUACCGGUAUGGUCGAACCAUAGGUCACGACCCAACUUCAGAUGCAAGUGAAUCGUGCAAUAUAUAUGGCAUGCUGCAUUUAUCAAUAUACUCCACUUCCUUCACAAGAUCAGUCAGUUAUCUUACUGCCACGGAAAGAUAAUUAUAAAUAUAUAUGGCCACGGAAAGAUCUACAAAUUAUCUACGAUUCAUAUAUAGACUUUUUAUUUUUUUAAGGCCACUAAGACCACGGAAAACUGGCAUGAACAGAAACUGUCGAAUCCGCCAUUCAGCAGAAAUUAAAUUUGAGAUCAAAACCUAACCCCACAUCUAAUCCAACCUCUAAUCCUUCAAUCCACAUGAUCCACAACCUCCAAAAGCACAUAAUUAUAUGGAGGAACAAGGAUCCCAUCCUUACCUAGGGUUUCCCCAAGAAAAUCUGCAAGAGAUGGGGGUAGAACAUCUCCUUGAUCCUCUCUUCCUCUUCAAUCCAUCUUGCUCCUGCUCUUCUCGAUCCUUGCUGCGUGGGGGAAGAUCUAGAGGGAGGAGGAAGCAGUGGAGGGCGGCUGCAAAGGGGAAGGGGGAGGGGCGGCCAAGGGUGGGGAAAGGGGGGGGGGGUUGGCGGCCAAUAAAAGGGAAAAAGGGGGGGCGACCACUAGGGUUUUGUGGAAGAAAGAAACGACGCCUCAGAUGUCUCCUGACUUUGCAUCCAACGGCCCACAACUCUUUCCCUCAUCCACACACCGAAGAUCAACUUUUGGUCAACAUUUUUUUGGGAUAUUACGCUUAUCCUGAUUAUUUGGUGUCUCAAGUUAGUAUGUCAAGAUAUUAUAAUUAGUUGGUAGGAUAUGCAAGUGAGUCUGGAAAAGAAGUUUUGACACUUAAUUAAAUUGCUUCUAUCCAUCAUAUGAAUGUUUGGUGUCCAAAAAUGGCGAGUCUAUGUUUGUUAACCCUUUGGUGUAUAUUCUAGGUAAAGAAAAUAUAGAGAUUAUACAUAGUUGUGGUUUCUUGUUCGAAUUAGGUUCAGUUGAGCAAGAAGAAUGUGAGUGUUGUACUUAGUAUGUCUAGUUUAUUAUUCCUUGAUAUUUGUGUUAGAUCCGGGUUAAGCUGGAGGAACGUGAUUGUUAUCCUUAGUAAGUUAUAGAUUCCUAGUGUUUACUUGUGAUUAUUUCAAUGUCAUGGCAUUAGGUGUUUAACUUGUUACUGUGUGUCAUUGUUUAGUCUUAUCUUUUCAUACUUAUGUCCAUUCUUAUGCACCAUGCAUCUCAUUAGGUAAACUAUCUGAGAAUCGUACGAAGCAAAGGACAUGGACCAAAGCAGACCACAAGACGAUGUCGGCCGGUGAAUUGGAAAAAAAUGGACAGACUGAAUGAGUGCCAAGACAAAGGAUGGUCUUCAAGUGAUUAUCGUCUAACAAACACUAACCUAGUGUUAUUCCAGGCAAGCCCCGGUGCAUUCACCUCUUUCCUUGUUGUUUAAAAAAUUUUAUCACCUUGAAUGAUGCAUUAGGUGAUAGGAGUUGUGUGAUCAAACAGUUGAUGCAUUUCCUUCCUUGAUUAAACAACCCUAAUAACUUUUUUAUGAAAAUUUAGUGAUGCUUAGCCCUGCUUAUUAAUUUAGGAUUGUUUUUAAAAGAUGAUGUGUA